This 332-nucleotide ribosomal RNA is filed under the name uncultured Glomeromycotina. RNAcentral's name for it is "eukaryotic LSU rRNA". Lineage: Eukaryota; Fungi; Glomeromycota. The record is from RNAcentral.
CAGUCGUACCGACGAUAAAUCAGCUCCUCGAGUGCGGACUUGCGGGCGUGCGUGAGCUUUAAAACCUCGCUGUUUGCAAUGUUUGUACUUUUUGGGUGUACUUUUUCGUAUGGUAGGCCAACGUCAGUUUCGAUUACCAUAAAAUGACCGGAGGAAUGUAGCUUCGAUCUCGUAUUGAAGUGUUAUAGCCCCUGGUAGAUGUGGUGACUGAAACUGAGGAUUGCAACGAAUACCCUUUGGGCUAUCCGUCUGAUCUCUGAAAGUUGCUUAGGUGCCGAAAGCAUGCUUACGGUUAUUUAAGUUGACGGUCAAUAGGUUAGAACGUGAUUACA